GAUAAGURAUGUGAAUUGCAGAAUUCAGUGAAUCAUCGAAUCUUUGAACGCACCUUGCGCCCCUUGGUAUUCCGAGGGGCACACCUGUUUGAGUGUCGUG
This 100-nucleotide ribosomal RNA is filed under the name Echinodontium ryvardenii. RNAcentral describes it as "partial 5.8S ribosomal RNA". It matches the Rfam family "5.8S ribosomal RNA", at positions 57 to 154 of the family's 154-position model. Rfam says of the family: 5.8S ribosomal RNA (5.8S rRNA) is a component of the large subunit of the eukaryotic ribosome. It is transcribed by RNA polymerase I as part of the 45S precursor that also contains 18S and 28S rRNA. The record is from RNAcentral. Lineage: Eukaryota; Fungi; Basidiomycota; Agaricomycetes; Russulales; Echinodontiaceae.